AUGAACGCUGGCGGCGUGCCUAAUCCAUGCAAGUCGAGCGAACAGAUAAGGAGCUUGCUCCUUUGACGUUAGCGGCGGACGGGUGAGUAACACGUGGGUAACCUACCUAUAAGACUGGAAUAACUCCGGGAAACCGGGGCUAAUGCCGGAUAACAUUUAGAACCGCAUGGUUCUAAAGUGAAAGAUGGUUUUGCUAUCACUUAUAGAUGGACCCGCGCCGUAUUAGCUAGUUGGUAAGGUAACGGCUUACCAAGGCAACGAUACGUAGCCGACCUGAGGGGGUGAUCGGCCACACUGGAACUGAGACACGGUCCAGACUCCUACGGGAGGCAGCAGUAGGGAAUCUUCCGCAAUGGGCGAAAGCCUGACGGAGCAACGCCGCGUGAGUGAUGAAGGUCUUCGGAUCGUAAAACUCUGUUAUUAGGGAAGAACAAAUGUGUAAGUAACUGUGCACGUCUUGACGGUACCUAAUCAGAAAGCCACGGCUAACUACGUG
This 496-nucleotide ribosomal RNA is filed under the name uncultured bacterium. Its description in RNAcentral is "partial 16S ribosomal RNA". It matches the Rfam family "Bacterial small subunit ribosomal RNA", at positions 29 to 507 of the family's 1533-position model. The record is from RNAcentral.